GGAUGCUGUGUGGAGAAAACACUGAAAAGGGGGAGAAUAAUUGACUCCAUUCAAGUGUUCGCUCCUGUUUCAAUCAACUAUGGCUGAAGAGUGAGGAGACAUUUGGAAUAAAUAUGGCUUCUGGGGGCCCAUUCCUAUGGAUCAGCAGCUGGCUUCUGGAGGCCCAUUCCUGUGAAUCGUCGAUCUCAUAGAAGAUAAUAUUGUUAGAAGGCUUACCUCAUUGAUGCUGAACAUCCUAAAAAGCUUCUGCUGCUUUGAGUCACUGAAAAAGACCAAGAAACAUGAAUUUAAAAAAAAAUUUCAAAUGUUAUAAAAUAAAUAAUAUGAACUCAUUAUACCUACAAUGAAUAAUUUAAAUUCUUCUUUGGUAGUCCAGGUUUAGAAACUAUGAAAACCCUAGAAGAAAACCUAGGCAAUGCCAUUCAGGACAUAGGCACGGACAAAGAUUUCAUGACGAAGACGCCAAAAACAACUGCAACAAAAGCAAAAAUUGACAGAUGGGAUCUCAUUAAACUAAAGAGCUUCCAUACAGCAAAAGAAGCUACCAUGAGAGUGAACAGACAACCUAUAGAAAGGGAGAAAAAUUUUGCAAUCUGUUCAUCUGACAAAGGUCUAAUAUCCAGCAUCUACAAGGAACUUAAAUAAAUUUACAAGAAAAAAACAAACCCAUUAGAAAAUGGGCAAAGGACAUGAAAAGAUACUUCUCAAAAGACAUACAUGUGGCCAACAAUCAUACAAAAAAAACCUCAACAUCACUGAUGAUUAGAAAAAUGCUAAUCAAAACCACAACGAGAUACCAUCUCAUACCUGUCAGAAUGGCUAUUAAUAAAAAGUUAAAAAACAA
RNAcentral lists this long non-coding RNA (844 nucleotides) under Homo sapiens (human). Its description in RNAcentral is "heart tissue-associated transcript 17". The record is from RNAcentral. Lineage: Eukaryota; Metazoa; Chordata; Mammalia; Primates; Hominidae.